Molecule: ribosomal RNA, 450 nt
Filed under: uncultured organism
Description: partial 16S ribosomal RNA
Rfam family: Bacterial small subunit ribosomal RNA
Source: RNAcentral
ACACUCCUACGGGAGGCAGCAGUGGGGAAUAUUGGACAAUGGGCGCAAGCCUGAUCCAGCCAUGCCGCGUGAGUGAUGAAGGCCCUAGGGUUGUAAAGCUCUUUCACCGGUGAAGAUAAUGACGGUAACCGGAGAAGAAGCCCCGGCUAACUUCGUGCCAGCAGCCGCGGUAAUACGAAGGGGGCUAGCGUUGUUCGGAUUUACUGGGCGUAAAGCGCACGUAGGCGGACUAUUAAGUCAGGGGUGAAAUCCCGGGGCUCAACCCCGGAACUGCCUUUGAUACUGGUAGUCUUGAGUUCGAGAGAGGUGAGUGGAAUUCCGAGUGUAGGGGUGAAAUUCGUAGAUAUUCGGAGGAACACCAGUGGCGAAGGCGGCUCACUGGCUCGAUACUGACGCUGAGGUGCGAAAGCGUGGGGAGCAAACAGGAUGAGAAACCCUAGUAGUCCCAUG